GGCGGAUCAGCCCUGCACGGCACUCAUAAUGCCGGGGUCAGCGGUUCAAGUCCGCUCGCCGCUACCA
Molecule: transfer RNA, 67 nt
Filed under: Falsiroseomonas bella
Lineage: Bacteria; Pseudomonadati; Pseudomonadota; Alphaproteobacteria; Acetobacterales; Roseomonadaceae
Description: Roseomonas sp. CQN31 tRNA-Met
Rfam family: tRNA
About the family: Transfer RNA (tRNA) molecules are approximately 80 nucleotides in length.
Source: RNAcentral